RNAcentral lists this ribosomal RNA (281 nucleotides) under uncultured Bacteroides sp. RNAcentral's name for it is "partial 16S ribosomal RNA". It matches the Rfam family "Bacterial small subunit ribosomal RNA", at positions 65 to 339 of the family's 1533-position model. Lineage: Bacteria; Pseudomonadati; Bacteroidota; Bacteroidia; Bacteroidales; Bacteroidaceae. The record is from RNAcentral.
AGGGGCAGCAUGGUCUUAGCUUGCUGAGUUUGAUGGCGACCGGCGCACGGGUGAGUAACACGUAUCCAACCUGCCGAUGACUCGGGGAUAGCCUUUCGAAAGAAAGAUUAAUACCGGAUGGCAUAGUCUUCCCGCAUGGGAUGAUUAUUAAAGAAUUUCGGUUGUCGAUGGGGAUGCGUUCCAUUAGAUAGUAGGCGGGGUAACGGCCCACCUAGUCUUCGAUGGAUAGGGGUUCUGAGAGGAAGGUCCCCACAUUGGAACUGAGACACGGUCCAAACUCC